UUUUUUAUGUAUGUUACAUCAGAACUUUUGAACGGAUAGACCGAUUUCGACAAAUUUUGUUUUAAUCGAAAGGUGGUGUAUGUCAAUUGGUCCCAUUUAAAUUUAUUUGACAUCUAACAACUACUUUUCGAGUUAUAUCUAAUAAUGCGUUUUUACUUGACGCUUUUUUCGUCGACCUACGUUGUAUUAUACCGCAUAACUUUCUACUGGAUGUACCGAUUUUGAUAAUUAUUUUUUUUG
RNAcentral lists this unclassified non-coding RNA (240 nucleotides) under Melitaea cinxia (Glanville fritillary). RNAcentral's name for it is "misc RNA ENSMCXG00005007339.1". The record is from RNAcentral. Lineage: Eukaryota; Metazoa; Arthropoda; Insecta; Lepidoptera; Nymphalidae.